UUCUUUCUUAUUUACAAGUUUUGCUUAGUCCCUUUUGAUUUUGAACAUAAAGAUGAAUGUGUAUUACAAGCUUCAUAUAGAUCUUGUACGUGAAUUUAAAUGUGUCCAAUUCAGCAUAUUUGACUAACAAUUUAAGCUACUUGUUGUAAUUUGUGGGAGUGGAAACCAACUUUGAAGCAUGAUUUGUGGAAUUUCAUAUCAAAUCUAAAAUUAGUGAGGUCUUUAUGUCCAUCAAUACUUUGGUAACAAUUGGCGAAAGGUUACAAAGGUCAGCAAAACCAUACAUGAAGGUACAUAUAAACUUUAAUAUCUUUAAUUUGAACUUUGUUUAUAAUAAUUUAUAAGUUGGGAGCUUCACCUAAAUAUAUCCCCCUAUUAUAUUUUAUAGGAAUCUUCAUUAAAUGGCUUAAUCAUUUAGUUUGAAGCUAUCAAGAGGAAGGAUAUUAAGCUUAAAGUUUGUUAGAGUAUUUUAGCUUUUAAGUAUGUAAUUAGUUUGCUAAUCUCUUGCAGGGAGAAACAUAGUUAAUAAUAUUUGUUUGACUAGAAUCAUAUGCAAUUGUUUCACUGAAAGAUGGUAAACAAUCUACAGCAACAAUAUGUGAAAUACAAUUUGGAGUUCCUUUCAUUCAAAUCGAAUCAUGAUUAAUAAAAAAUAAUUUAGAUAAGAAAUAAGUAAAUUGAUUUGCAUUUCUAAGAAUGAUAACUAUAAAUAAUUCCAUAAUUUUACUGGUCAAAGUUGUGUUGAGUAAAUCACUAAUGUGAUAUUUAAUUAGUAUUAUUUUUAUUUUUAUUUGUUUGAGUUUUUGUUAGGCUAAAUUGAUGUGAUUUUGUUCAAAGCAAAAUGAUUCUUAGACAUAUUAUGGGUGCACAUAUUUUAUAUUUUUAAUAUUUUAAUUUAAUUAAAGUCCUCAUGAGCUUAGCUCAGUUGGUAUAGACAGUGUAUAAUAAUAUUCAAGGUCG
This 960-nucleotide long non-coding RNA is filed under the name Medicago truncatula (barrel medic). RNAcentral describes it as "long non-coding RNA (MTRU_LNC008302)". Lineage: Eukaryota; Viridiplantae; Streptophyta; Magnoliopsida; Fabales; Fabaceae. The record is from RNAcentral.